UGGGGUCCACGUAUCGUCUUCAACCUGCUGGCCGAAGUUCGACGAGAACACGAAACUACAACCAACCCAAAAUCCCCAGAAAUUCGCUACAAUUCCGUUCGAUUUCGUUGCCCCUACUCCACGAAAACCCCUCUAUAUAAUCCCCCGCAGCAACCUCUCUCGGUUUUUCGAAAAAGCACAAACUCUAAACCACCCGAGAGCUCAAACCGAUCUCGCCGGAGUUCCGCCGCUGCAAACUGGAGUCGACGUUCGAGGACCUCUCUGCCUCCCCUCUUCUUUCUAACCUUUCUAGAUCGUCGACCGCACUCUCCUCACCCUUUUUUUCCGUCGCACAGGACCAUGGGAACGAAACGCCGGAGUUUCGCCGGACUUCGCUGACUCCAGCUGGGAAUAGCAGCUGCUUAGGACGACUCCGACAGACUCCGUUGACGCACGCGGCACCACCAAGGAGAGGAGAACCCCAUCAAGGUCUUCGCCAAGCCGGGAAGCACCAGUACACCGUCGCCUUCCGCACCUGACCGCCGCGACCAUCUCCUCCGUCGUCCACCGGUUGUUCGACGAAUUGUGAGAAUGCGUAGGUCGCGAGUCUGCACUCAACCAGCCUGUGGCAUUGAUGGGACUCCAAGAUGUUAUUUCGUUUUCCGUUGUAUUGAGCUAGCCUUUGGCUAUGCAAGUUGUAAUUAUUUGUACUCUGGAUUAUUCGAAUCGUGUAAUAAAGACUUGUGUUUUACAUGAUAA
Lolium perenne is the source of this 738-nucleotide non-coding RNA. The record is from RefSeq and is a predicted model, not a curated record. NCBI's taxonomy places the organism in Eukaryota, Viridiplantae, Streptophyta, Magnoliopsida, Poales, Poaceae.